Molecule: long non-coding RNA, 4871 nt
Filed under: Callithrix jacchus (white-tufted-ear marmoset)
Lineage: Eukaryota; Metazoa; Chordata; Mammalia; Primates; Cebidae
Description: lncRNA (ENSCJAG00000080262.1)
Source: RNAcentral
AUGUGUCUUCCUCCUUCCUUUUCUCUUUCCAUUUACUCAGCAUUACGUGAGUCGGCUGUUAAGCACCUGAACAGAGGAAGAAAUUGUUUACGGGCACCCCACUGGGAUGAGUCUAGACCAAGAGAAAAUAGCCAACAUAGCAAAGAAGUGUUUCCAGCAUUUAUUAAGAUCUACUUUGAGGCAGUAAAAAUGCUAAGAUACCACUUUGAAAAAAGCCCCUAUCAGAACAACAUGAAUCCUGAUAAAAUUGAAUCGAGAACAAACAGCAAAUUUAUGGUGCAGCCUGGGUGGAAACAUGAUGAGUAAUUGAUGCUUUAUAUAAAGUUUAUGGGGGCAAUGUCCCAAAAAAGUCAACAGUUUACAGACAGAUAACUCAUUUUAAGAAGGAACAAGACCAUGUUGAAGAUCAAUUUGUGAGGAAAAAAAUUAAUGUGGCUUAUGACCUAAAUGAAGAGGACCAAUGAUUAAUAGCAAAAACACCAGCCAAUAUCACAGACAUCUCAGUGGUUCUGUGUACUCAAUUCUGCCUGAAAACCUAAGUUUAACAAACUUUCCAUUUGAUGAAUGCCAAAACCAUUGGGCCCAGAGUAGCUGCAGAGAAGAGCAGAGCUUUCAAUGGAAAUUUUGAGUAAGUAAGAUCAAGAGCCUGAAGCAUUUCUUCAAAGAAUUGGAGCAGGAGAUGAAACAUGACUUUACCAGUACGAUUCCACAGACAAGACACAACCAAAGCAAUGGCUACCAAGAGGUGGAAGUGGUUCAGUCACAGCAAAAGUGGACCAAUCAAGAGGAAAUGUCAUCAUGGCAACAGGCUUUUGGGAUGCUCUAGGCAUUUUGCUUGUUAACUUUCAGGAGUGCCAAAAAUGAUAACAUCUCCUUAUAAUGAGAGUGUUUUGAGAAAGGCAGAGCUUUAGCAGAGAAAUGCCCAAGAAAACUUUACCAGACAGUCCUUCUCCACCAUGACAAUGCUCCUGUUCAUUCCUUUCAUCAAACAAAAACCAUUUUUUAAGAGUUUCAAUGAGAAAUCAUUAGGCAUCCACCCGACAGUCCUGAUUUGGCUCAUUCUGAUUUCUUUUUGUGUCCUAAUCUUAAAAAUUCUCUAAAGAGCACCAUUUUUCUUUAGUUUUUAAUGUAAAAGGGACUGCAGUGACAUGAUUAAAUUCCUAGGACCCUUGGUUCUUUAGGGAUGAACUCAAUGGCUGGUAUCAUCAUUUACAAGUGUUUUGACCUUGAUGGAGCUUAUGUUGGGAAAUGAAGUUUGUACUUUUUAUUUUUGUCUUUUCCUUCAAUUAUUCUGUGAACUUUUUGAAGUCCUCUCGUAUUUAUUGGCAGUUGCUGUGGGAGAGCUGCUGGAAAUGAACUGGAGGGGCAGGUGCUCCAGAAGUUGAGAGCAGGACUCAAGGGAGAACCUUGAACUGAAAGGGCUCUAAGUGCCACAGCAAGUGAUGGAAACUGCAGCUUAGCUUGAGCCAGAGCAGCAGCUUCCUACUGAGACUCAGUCACAUGAAGAACCCAUUCUGCUCCCAGCUGAGAACCCCAGGGCCACCAGGGCUUUGCUGUUUCUGACAUGGCUGCCUGCUCAGGACCACUGCUGAGACUUGCCUCCAAUCUACUGUGUCUAACCUCUGGGCUGUUUUUCUUCAACAUUUCAGGCCAUUUCACUGACAUUUGAGUAAACGAUUGAUCACUUUAAAGCAAGGAACAAAUAAACUUGCUGGGCAAUCAGACCUCCUUCCAGCCACACAUUUUUGUGCAGUGGAUGGAUACAAUCUCACCAGCAUAUGAUGGUUUGUAUUUUCUGUGCCGUGACAGGCAGACCAAUCCUACUGAUUUAUCAGGGCUGCAGUUAAAGACUGAGCAGAAAUGCUCUAGGAUUAUGGAGUGGACAUUGGUCCCUUAUCAAGGGCUGAGACUUCCCAUAUAGGCAGAGUGGUAGCUCUAGGGGCAAGAGCUGAGGUGGGAGAAGGAAAGUGUGAACUGGAUUGGAGGCUAAAUGCUCCAGCAAAGGUUAGAACCUGGCACUUACUUGUUUUACAUACUGAAAAUGAAAACAAUAUCUUACUCAUGAAUAGUGAAUAGCUGCAAAUUACCAGCAGCACCACAUUUGUUAACACCUAUGUGCCAGGCAUUGUGCUAGGUGUUUGACCACUUUGGCUCCUUUAUUCCUAUGUUGGUUUUUCUCUCUGUUUCAUUGAGGAGAAACUGGAGGCUCAGAGAGGAUUAAAGAUAGGUCUACUUAUGUUCUUGCACAUGAGCCUUAGGUUUGUUAUUGCCUAUUUUAUGAUUGUUGCAUGAAUACGCUUAAGAACAGUUCAAGGUGUUUUCCAUCAAUAGCUGCUGCUUACCAAAAUCCUUGUUCCUCUUUUCUUCUUGGACACACUGCUCGAUUACAUUUCCCAGCCUUUCUUGCAGCUGGAUGUGGCCAUGUGACUGAGUUCUAUAGCGUGCAAGGUAAGUAGAAGUGAUACACAUCACUCCAGGUGCUUUUCUCCUUGUAGUUGGUUGUGACGAGGGACUUUCCCUGGGGUUAUAGAAACCACAUGUUGAAGAUGGAAGAUUCUUUGUCAGUGCUGUGUGGAACAGGAAAACACCUCCUUGCGCCCACUCCACAAUUCUUUCAUCUGCCUUUACUGGUUUGUAAACAACAUGUAAAUUUUUAUUGUGUUUAGCCACCAUGUAUUUUUGGAUUUUUUUUUAACUGAUAUUAGGUUACCCGAAUAAUAGCAAAUGUCAACUCUUAACAACUCAAGAGGACUCAGCAGGGAUGCUCCAACUACAGGUUGGAAGUAGGUCGAAGGGAUUUGCAGUCAGAAGCAAGUCAUUUCCUUAGGCCUGCAAAGGGUGGGUGUCCUCCCUUGGGUGUGUUUAUUGGAGGUUCCAGGGCACUGCAAAACUUAAUGUAUUCUAAGUUACAGAGCAAGUUUCUGAAGUUCCUGUUCAGAGAUCAGCCUAUUGUUUUUUCACAUAAGAAAACUUUCCCAGCAAUAAUAACUGUUAGAUUUCUAUUCCUGUUUAAGGAAUCAUCACCUUUGGUGGUGGCUGGAACUGAGUUAUACUAGGUCAUGAUAAUCACAGUUUAAUUUAGGUCUAGAAGAUCCCAGGACUUUGUCUGACUCUGUCUUUUGAAAAACUUUCUGAGGUAUUGAAAUGGAGUCAGGAGACAGUUGGUGUCUGUGAGAUCUGUUGUUGCUCUGGUAGAUUGACAGGUUUACCCAGAAGGUGAUGCUAUUAAUGAAUUUGUGGGUUGCCAUGAUAGGAUUGGGUUUGAUGAAGACUUUCCUGGCAGGCAACUUAGGUUUUAGCUUGGCAUCUGACUGGAAUUCUUUCUGAAUACAUUAGCAGAAGAGCUAAUAGGUUGGGCAAAGUUGGUAGGAGAUGGAAGAGAGACUGUUCCUUUCCUUUGUUCCUGCUUGUUCUUUGGUGUUUGAGAUGUUUUCAGUGGGUGUGGUGAUGGUGGUGUGAUAGAUGAUGUAAUAGGAGAGUAGCAGAGGCCAUGCAAUGCUAAUUAGAUGUGAAAAUAUCUGGAGCAGUUUUUUGAGGGCACAAUGAUCAUUAAGUAAUUUCAGUUUUUAAUGUACAUAAUUGUGAGAUAUCCAGUUUGUAUUAGUCCAUUCUCACACUGCUAUGAAGAAAUAACCAAGACUGGGUAAUUUAUAAAGAAAAGAGGUUUAAUUGACUCAGUUCCACUUGGCUUAGAAGGCCUCAGGAAACAAUCAUGGUGGAAGGCACCUCUUCACAGGGAGGCAGGAGAGAGAAUGAGUAUUAGCAUGGGAAAUGCCAGAUGCUUAUAAAACAGUCAGAUCUCAUGAGACUCACUUAUUGUCAUGAGAACAGCAUGGGGGAAAUCACCCCUAUGAUCCAAUUAUUUCCACCUCGUCCGGACCUUGACACGUGGGGAUUAUUACAAUUUCAGGUGAGAUUUGGGUGGGGACACAGAGCCAAACCAUAUCACAGUUUUUCCAGCAAUUUGCUCAAAUGUUAUCAUUUCUAAGUACUUCCUGACAGCAUCCCUCUUCGCCAUUCCCACAAGUUGGUCAUAUCCCUCCAUAUAGCUGCAUUAUGCUAAAUAAAAACAUCUACAAUAACAAUAUAAUAUCAAAUUAAUGAAUUAUGCAAUUCAUUUAUUAACUUGCCAAAAGUGAAUUGAGCAUCUGCUUUGUGUCAGAUACUGCAAAAGACGUAGGAGUAUCAUCAUGCAUUAGACACAAGUAUCUCACAGCCUGGUAGAGGAGACUCAGAAGUAAAUCAACAAGUGCAGGGAAGUGUGUUGGGUCUUAUGACUGAAGUAUGUAUGAAGUGAAUUGAGGGUUAGUGUCUAAAGGGUGGAUUAAGUAUGCACAGAGUGGAUUAAAUGUUUGAUGUCUAAAUUACACUGCAAGUAGUUCCUGGAAAAGCCUCCUGGAAGUGAUGACCCCUGAUACAAUUGAAGUUAAGUCCAUAAGGAGAAUUGGGAGAUGACCAGGAAGAGGGUUGCCAUUUUAGGCAGGGGGAAUAGCACAGUCAGAGACAUGGAGGUGGGAAAGAGCAAGAUGCAUUUCUAAAGCUAUGACAUAAUUUGGGGAUGAGUGCAGGGGAGGCGGCACUUUGUAACAAUUAGGUUUUUCCUUUCUGUCUUUUCUUGAUAGUUUUUGGGUUCUUGGAUCAUGCUUAUAUAUCUUUAUAUCCCAGAAUGUGGAAUGUCAAGAACUUCAGCUAAUUUUUGUUGAAUGAAUGAGAGUUGGCUAAUAUCAAAUCACCUACACACAUGCUGGUCUCAACUCUCAGAGCUGCUGGUCUGAUGUCCAGUCCUGUGGGCUCUCAAGCUAGAAUGGAUAUGAAUUUCUUCAGUUAUGAAACAGCUGCAAGUUUCUUUGCAAACAACAAGAAAAGAAGCA